RNAcentral lists this long non-coding RNA (1585 nucleotides) under Homo sapiens (human). RNAcentral describes it as "HSALNT0342202". The record is from RNAcentral. Lineage: Eukaryota; Metazoa; Chordata; Mammalia; Primates; Hominidae.
AGCGUGGGCCGGAGCCUGAGGCGAGAGCGCGAGGUCCCGGGCUCUGCCUCAGGAAAGGAGGCCUGAGGUGGAAAACGACACUGGGGCUCUCGAGAGCCUCGGCUGGCCGUGCCCAGGCGCCCCUCGAACCCACCCGAGGACGCGGGCGUCACAGGCUGAGGAGAAAGUGGGAACCCCUCGGUGUCCCGGUGCCCCUUUCUCAGGGUGGCUUCUGGCGCGGCACGGGGCCUCGCUGCGCGUUUGCCGCCGCCCUCAGGGAGGCGUUUUCUCCAGCAGGAGCAGCCCCCCAGGCGGGACUCGAACCCCGACUGCCAUCGCGAGCCACCCCCGCGGCAGGCGUGGGCCUUCUCGUCAAGGCCCGGCCACCUCACUCUCGAGGCGGGAAGGAGCCGCACGACGGCCGCCUCCGGAUGCAACGGUCCCCGGGACGCGCUCCAUGGCCCCGCCUCCACCCCCCGCGCCAACUCGGAAAACGCUCGGGAAGAAUCCCGGGGGCCUCGGGGACCGGGACCAGGACCAGGCGCCGGACGCUGAUGGGAAGGAGGGGACACCCGGAGUUAGGGACAAAGUCACGAGGCCACUCGCAGAGCCCUCGCGCGCGUGUUCAUCGACUGCCCCCUGGGCGGUGACCUUAUUCAGCAAGACCUGAGCUCAGGGGCGGGGUGACAUCUAACUGGAGUCAUCAUGAUGGAGCCACGUGGUCCAACAGUGCCCGGUCCUUGUAACCAGGAGGGCCCGCAGUGUCACCACUUCCUCGAAGUGAGGCCACUGCCCUCAGCUUCUUGGAGACAGCAGAUAUGAGCAGAAACCCCCAAAAGUCAGGAGCAAAUUUGUUUCAGAAUCUCUCCAAAUCUGUGGCUUAAAACAAGUUCAGAGGGAUUUUGGUGCACAGCUACAGACUGAGCUGGUUUACUGCACAUUUAUAAAUGGAAAUCUUUAUUUCUUUUCCUCUCUAUGUUUUUAAGAAAUCCUGUUGCAAGGUCAUUAAUCACGUUAUCCAUUAUACCACAAACAAAUGGAUUUGUCACUUGUGCGCAGAAGCCGAGGUUGAUUCUGAAAGCAAAUUGUACCAAAAUAAAUGAAAUUAUUAUGAUAAUAUAAACUAGACUGCAGUGAUUAAUCUCUAGAAACCAAAUUCUGACCUGCUUUGCACUUCAAACAAUAGCUUCUAUUAUGUAAAUAGUUGUGGGGUUUUCAAGGACAUUAUUGCUAAAUUAUAAGAAAAGUUCUAUUCUUGAAAAUCUCUUCGUGGAUAAAAAUGAGAGACAGGAACCUGGUCUGCAAGGUAUCCAAAGCAGAGGACAAUGGAAGUAAUGAUGGUUCAGUGUUCUUUAUUCACUCAAUCUGUAUCAUGAGACUUCGGGAAAACCUGGUGGAUUAAAUACCCUCCUGCAACCUCACUGAAAGUGGCAGAAAAGGGAUUAAAAUGGAUAUGAGCUGCAAGGAUAAAGAGAACUGCAAAGGAGAAGAGAACAAUAACACCUUAGAACAAUAAAAUCUCAGAACUGGAAAGCAAAUGGACGAGCUGAAAUUGUCUUAGGAGAUGAGAGAAAUAAAAACUGGACAUUGAAGAGAGGCCCCAGUC